This 508-nucleotide ribosomal RNA is filed under the name uncultured bacterium. RNAcentral's name for it is "bacterial SSU rRNA". It matches the Rfam family "Bacterial small subunit ribosomal RNA", at positions 331 to 830 of the family's 1533-position model. The record is from RNAcentral.
CCAGACUCCUACGGGAGGCAGCAGUGGGGAAUCUUCCGCAAUGGGCGAAAGCCUGACGGAGCAACGCCGCGUGAGUGAAGACGGCCUUCGGGUUGUAAAGCUCUGUUAUAGGGGACGAACGGCCGGGUAGCGAAGAGGUACCCGGCAUGACGGUACCGUAAGAGAAAGCCACGGCUAACUACGUGCCAGCAGCCGCGGUAAUACGUAGGUGGCAAGCGUUGUCCGGAAUGAUUGGGCGUAAAGGGCGCGCAGGCGGCUGUGUAAGUCUGUCCAGAAAGUGCGGGGCUAAACCCCGUGAGAGGAUGGAAACUGGACAGCUGAGAGUGUCGGAGAGGAAAGCGGAAUUCCUAGUGUAGCGGUGAAAUGCGUAGAUAUUAGGAGGAACACCGGUGGCGAAAGCGGCUUUCUGGACGACAACUGACGCUGAGGCGCGAAAGCCAGGGGAGCAAACGGGAUUAGAUACCCCGGUAGUCCUGGCCGUAAACGAUGGGUACUAGGUGUUAGACCC